GGGGACGUGGUGUAGCCUGGUUUAACACGCCGGCCUGUCAAGCCGGAGAUCGCGAGUUCAAAUCUCGUCGUCCCCGCCA
Molecule: transfer RNA, 79 nt
Filed under: Bacteroidota bacterium
Lineage: Bacteria; Pseudomonadati; Bacteroidota
Also listed under: 1 other name
Description: tRNA-Asp
Rfam family: tRNA
About the family: Transfer RNA (tRNA) molecules are approximately 80 nucleotides in length. Their secondary structure includes four short double-helical elements and three loops (D, anti-codon, and T loops). Further hydrogen bonds mediate the characteristic L-shaped molecular structure. tRNAs have two regions of fundamental functional importance: the anti-codon, which is responsible for specific mRNA codon recognition, and the 3' end, to which the tRNAs corresponding amino acid is attached (by aminoacyl-tRNA synthetases). tRNAs cope with the degeneracy of the genetic code in two manners: having more than one tRNA (with a specific anti-codon) for a particular amino acid; and 'wobble' base-pairing, i.e. permitting non-standard base-pairing at the 3rd anti-codon position.
Source: RNAcentral